AUUGCCUCCACAGCUCAAAACUAUACAUUCUCUAAUUCUAAGACUUUAUUAUUUUUAUAUACUAAUUUGUUCAUACAAUGGAUAUCCAGGUGGUACUGUUCUUAGGAGGAUUUUAAAGAAGAAAUCUAUGCGAAAACAAUACACAGUUCUGGCCAAAAGAAGUUAAAACAAAUGUGAAAUAUAAGCGACAUCCAGAAACUUCAGCAGCUCCCUUCUGCCCUACGCCUCAAGGUACCAGAGAGGGAAAAAGACCCCCAGGAGAGGCUGUGAGGAAACCUGAACUGCAAACCCACCACGAUGUCUUCCUGGGAAAGGCAAGUUGGUAAAGAUGUGAACUCUAUUUCAGGGUAGUAUGUUUUUUUCAUUUGCUUCCAAGCCUUUGAUGGAAUGACUUGAGAGGAAAAGUUCACAAUUACUAGAAAGAACCUAAAAGGACAUGAGAGAUGAAACGGUUGCAGUAUUUUUGAAAUAAAUGUUUUCCUGCAAGAGCAGAGUCAUGGGCGGGGUGUCUGUGUAAUGUCUACUCAACACAGCCGAAGGGUAAGAGGAAAUC
Molecule: long non-coding RNA, 553 nt
Filed under: Pan troglodytes (chimpanzee)
Lineage: Eukaryota; Metazoa; Chordata; Mammalia; Primates; Hominidae
Description: lincRNA
Source: RNAcentral